GUACGGGAGGCAGCAGUGGGGAAUUUUGGACAAUGGGCGCAAGCCUGAUCCAGCCAUGCCGCGUGAGUGAAGAAGGCCUUCGGGUUGUAAAGCUCUUUCGGACAGAAAGAAAUCGCACUUACUAAUACUAGGUGUGGAUGACGGUACUGUAAGAAGAAGCACCGGCUAACUACGUGCCAGCAGCCGCGGUAAUACGUAGGGUGCGAGCGUUAAUCGGAAUUACUGGGCGUAAAGCGUGCGCAGGCGGUUUUGUAAGACAGACGUGAAAUCCCCGGGCUUAACCUGGGAACUGCGUUUGUGACUGCAAGGCUAGAGUGUGGCAGAGGGGGGUAGAAUUCCGCGUGUAGCAGUGAAAUGCGUAGAUAUGCGGAGGAAUACCGAUGGCGAAGGCAGCCCCCUGGGUCAACACUGACGCUCAUGCACGAAAGCGUGGGGAGCAAACAGGAUUAGAUACCCCGGUAGU
RNAcentral lists this ribosomal RNA (463 nucleotides) under uncultured bacterium. Its description in RNAcentral is "bacterial SSU rRNA". It matches the Rfam family "Bacterial small subunit ribosomal RNA", at positions 339 to 794 of the family's 1533-position model. The record is from RNAcentral.